UUAGCUAGUUGGUAAGGUAAUGGCUUACCAAGCGAUCUAUAGGGUGNGUGAGAGNGUGGACCCCCACACGGGUACUGAGACACGGACCCACUCCUACGGGAGGCAGCAGUAAGGAAUAUUGGACAAUGGGGGCAACCCUGAUCCAGCCAUCCCGCGUGCAGGAAGACGGCCCUAUGGGUUGUAAACUGCUUUUAUUAGGGAAGAAAAAUUACCGGGUUUACCUGUAACUGACCGUCACCUAAA
Molecule: ribosomal RNA, 243 nt
Filed under: uncultured bacterium
Lineage: Bacteria
Description: partial 16S ribosomal RNA
Rfam family: Bacterial small subunit ribosomal RNA
Source: RNAcentral